Molecule: ribosomal RNA, 478 nt
Filed under: uncultured bacterium
Lineage: Bacteria
Description: partial 16S ribosomal RNA
Rfam family: Bacterial small subunit ribosomal RNA
Source: RNAcentral
GAUGAACGCUGGCGGCGUGCCUAACACAUGCAAGUCGAACGGAGUCCAGCCUUUAAGACCUUCGGGUCAAAGAGGGGAAGACUGAGUGGCGGACGGGUGAGUAACACGUGGGCAACCUGGCUCAUAGAGGGGGAUAACAGAGAGAAAUUUCUGCUAAUACCGCAUAAGCACACACUGCCGCAUGGCAGAGGGUGAAAAGAGAAUCGCUAUGAGAUGGACCCGCGUCUGAUUAGCCAGUUGGCAGGGUAAGAGCCUACCAAAGCGACGAUCAGUAGCCGAUCUGAGAGGAUGAACGGCCACAUUGGGACUGAGACACGGCCCAAACUCCUACGGGAGGCAGCAGCGGGGGAUAUUGCACAAUGGGGGGAACCCUGAUGCAGCGACGCCGCGUGAGUGAAGAAGUAUUUCGGUAUGUAAAGCUCUAUCAGCAGGGAAGAUAAUGACAGUACCUGAAUAAGAAGCCCCGGCUAACUACGUG